RNAcentral lists this transfer RNA (68 nucleotides) under Phyllomys blainvillii (golden Atlantic tree rat). RNAcentral describes it as "tRNA-Tyr". It matches the Rfam family "tRNA". From Rfam's summary of the family: Transfer RNA (tRNA) molecules are approximately 80 nucleotides in length. Their secondary structure includes four short double-helical elements and three loops (D, anti-codon, and T loops). Lineage: Eukaryota; Metazoa; Chordata; Mammalia; Rodentia; Echimyidae. The record is from RNAcentral.
GGUAGAGUGGCUGAUAUAAGUAUUAGACUGUAAAUCUAAGUAUAAAGGUUGUAAUCCUUUUUCUACCA